CCAAACACUCAUCAAUGUUUCCUCUUGGUGACUAGAGUUUUCAUUCUAAAGUAGUUAUAGCUCAAAAGGCACGUAAGAAGGCCAACCAAAUAUAAUGUGUUCCUUUUCCAUUAAUUUUUUGGUCUUUUUUUAUUAUUAUUUAGUUAAUUGUGGCCUAUUAUACUCUCCAUCUAUUUAACGGAGGUUCGAAUCAAAGGCCUCUUAUUUUCACUUGAAAUUUUUUAAAUUAUUUUUUAGUGUCAUAUCCUAGAUAAAUCCCAAAAUGAAGAUUUUAAAAACCCAUUCAUUAAUUUUUACAAACCCUCUCACCCAAUUUCCACUAUCACGUUCUCUUCCUAAAGCUUUCUUUUCAAACGCCUAAAUGAUUUGCUCCAUUUUCCGUUUUUAAUUUAAUUGCUUCAUAUAAGAUUUACUUAAACAAUUGUUCCACACAAGUCAUUCUUUAAACUGAUACAAUACAAUUGAUAUAUUUUUAAUCAGAAUUUAAUUCAAUACAUGUACAAUAUGGCUUAGAAUUUUCCCCUUACAAAUUACUCAUAAAUACAUUCUAGAAUUAAAGUUCACAAAUUUCUUAGAAACUUAAGAAGAAUAGUAGCUUUACUCACAAACUAGUGGGGAAAAUGUCAGCUCCACUCAUGAAUUAGAGGGAAGAAGAUAACUGACAUCCAAAUAUAUAUAGGGUCAUAAGAGCCCCUCUUUUUUAACGCAAAUUUUUACACAAAAUCUCAAUCCUUAAAUCCUAAUUAAUUCAGUGGCUGAAAUUAAUGUUAAUUUGAAUUUUCUUUUUAAUAAAAAAUUAUAAAAAUUGGACCCUAUUAGAAUUAAUAUGUUAUUUGUUCUACUUAUUUUUAUUUUUUUUAAUUCUACUUUCUUUAUUUCUCUACUUAUCUUAUCUAUUAUCUAUUUUUAUUAAAUUCUAGUUUGUGGGACUCAACUUUUAUUAAUUUUAAUUUAACAGUAAUUUCAACCAUUAUGUUAAUUAUGAUUCAAGAUUGAGAUUUUGUGUAAAAGUUUAUAUUUAAAAAUAGGGGCUAUAUGUGUGUGUGUGUGUGUGUGUGUCCUGGACAAAUGACCGGUAUGGGCCAAAUAGCUAGUUAGUAGCUACAAUUAGGGAAGAUUGAGUUCAUGGAUUUACCUAAGUAAGGCUAUGGACCAAUAAAAGAUUUUUAUCUUCGAAACCAAUUAGAAAGGGCAAUGUACGGUACCAGAAAUUAAAUCAUCCCUAAAUGAUCGAAUCCUCGAAACAAGCUAUUGCGCUUACUCCUGGUAAUUAUAUUCAAGCGCAGAAUUGGUUGAAAAUUGGUUGAAGUUGAUAAAAAAAGAAAAAGCCCUUUCGCCCUUAUCUCUGUCUAUUUUCGGCCUGACGUCAAGUCAUCAUGCCCCUUAUGCCCUGGGCGACACACGUGCUACAAUGGCCGGGACAAAGGGUCGCGAUCCCGCGAGGGUGAGCUAACUCCGGUAAAUACGCCAGGUUGGGCUUUAGCAUAGAAUGGGCCCAGGCGCUGAUUUUUUAAAUAAACAAUUUAAAUAUUUUUAAUAGUACUA
RNAcentral lists this long non-coding RNA (1545 nucleotides) under Citrus x clementina. RNAcentral describes it as "Citrus clementina (C. clementina) long non-coding RNA (CCLE_LNC001320)". The record is from RNAcentral. Lineage: Eukaryota; Viridiplantae; Streptophyta; Magnoliopsida; Sapindales; Rutaceae.